RNAcentral lists this ribosomal RNA (599 nucleotides) under Arthrobacter psychrochitiniphilus. RNAcentral describes it as "bacterial SSU rRNA". It matches the Rfam family "Bacterial small subunit ribosomal RNA", at positions 82 to 682 of the family's 1533-position model. The record is from RNAcentral. Lineage: Bacteria; Bacillati; Actinomycetota; Actinomycetes; Micrococcales; Micrococcaceae.
GCGUCGGGGAUUAGUGGCGAACGGGUGAGUAACACGUGAGUAACCUGCCCUUAACUCUGGGAUAAGCCUUGGAAACGGGGUCUAAUACUGGAUAUUGACUUUUCCUCGCAUGGGGUUUGGUUGAAAGAUUUAUUGGUUUUGGAUGGACUCGCGGCCUAUCAGCUUGUUGGUGAGGUAAUGGCUCACCAAGGCGACGACGGGUAGCCGGCCUGAGAGGGUGACCGGCCACACUGGGACUGAGACACGGCCCAGACUCCUACGGGAGGCAGCAGUGGGGAAUAUUGCACAAUGGGCGAAAGCCUGAUGCAGCGACGCCGCGUGAGGGAUGACGGCCUUCGGGUUGUAAACCUCUUUCAGUAGGGAACAAGGCCAGCUUUUUGGUUGGUUGAGGGUACUUGCAGAAGAAGCGCCGGCUAACUACGUGCCAGCAGCCGCGGUAAUACGUAGGGCGCAAGCGUUAUCCGGAAUUAUUGGGCGUAAAGAGCUCGUAGGCGGUUUGUCGCGUCUGCCGUGAAAGUCCGGGGCUCAACUCCGGAUCUGCGGUGGGUACGGGCAGACUAGAGUGAUGUAGGGGAGACUGGAAUUCCUGGUGUAGCGGU